CUGCUAUACAUGCAUCGAGCGAACUGAUUAGAAGCUUGCUUCUAUGACGUUAGCGGCGGACGGGUGAGUAACACGUGGGCAACCUGCCUGUAAGACUGGGAUAACUUCGGGAAACCGAAGCUAAUACCGGAUAGGAUCUUCUCCUUCAUGGGAGAUGAUUGAAAGAUGGUUUCGGCUAUCACUUACAGAUGGGCCCGCGGUGCAUUAGCUAGUUGGUGAGGUAACGGCUCACCAAGGCCACGAUGCAUAGCCGACCUGAGAGGGUGAUCGGCCACACUGGGACUGAGACACGGCCCAGACUCCUACGGGAGGCAGCAGUAGGGAAUCUUCCGCAAUGGACGAAAGUCUGACGGAGCAACGCCGCGUGAGUGAUGAAGGCUUUCGGGUCGUAAAACUCUGUUGUUAGGGAAGAACAAGUACAAGAGUAACUGCUUGUACCUUGACGGUACCUAACCAGAAAGCCACGGCUAACUACGUGCCAGCAGCCGCGGUAAUACGUAGGUGGCAAGCGUUAUCCGGAAUUAUUGGGCGUAAAGCGCGCGCAGGCGGUUUCUUAAGUCUGAUGUGAAAGCCCACGGCUCAACCGUGGAGGGUCAUUGGAAACUGGGGAACUUGAGUGCAGAAGAGAAAAGCGGAAUUCCACGUGUAGCGGUGAAAUGCGUAGAGAUGUGGAGGAACACCAGUGGCGAAGGCGGCUUUUUGGUCUGUAACUGACGCUGAGGCGCGAAAGCGUGGGGAGCAAACAGGAUUAGAUACCCCUGGUAGUCCACGCCGUAAACGAUGAGUGCUAAGUGGUUAGAGGGUUUCCGCCCUUUAGUGCUGCAGCUAACGCAUUAAGC
RNAcentral lists this ribosomal RNA (839 nucleotides) under Bacillus zanthoxyli. Its description in RNAcentral is "bacterial SSU rRNA". It matches the Rfam family "Bacterial small subunit ribosomal RNA", at positions 44 to 865 of the family's 1533-position model. Lineage: Bacteria; Bacillati; Bacillota; Bacilli; Caryophanales; Bacillaceae. The record is from RNAcentral.